GAACGCGCUGCCAAGCCCGUAGACACGUGCUUUAUUUUAAAACAGGACUAGUGUCCUUGAUGCCAACAGGACCUUGGCACUUGCUUAAAGUUAAGCAUGUGUUUAUGUGCGUUGCUGGACUGGGCCAUGAAUAAAAAUAAUUAUGUAUCAUGGGGGAUUUCAGCCUCAGACGUAUUCCAACCAUGUGAGCUGCAAUGGAGCCGGCUCUUACACCAGUCUGAUUGCCCAGAGAUACAGCGAGGAGGCCAGUGCCAGAGACACAGAUGGAGUGGAGACGGGAGGGACAAUGAACCAGAGCUUCAGCUAGUCAAGAGCUGCAAAAAAGGUUCCUUCGCGCUACUUGAGAGCUUCUGCUGUGCAGCAUCUGGAACUAAUCGACAGGACCUAAAACACUUUGCUUAAUUGGUACAGCUAAGCCGGACUCAAGUUUCACUACAUAAACUGGGGUCCGAAAGGCAGUUCUUUGGGAACCAACUCCAGGACACAGCCCCAAAGAGCAGAGCUGCCAGACCUCAACACUCUGCCAAUGACAUUGUGCAGAAACUGGAGUCUCCCAGAUGGACCUGAUCCUGCC
Long non-coding RNA from Mauremys reevesii (Reeves's turtle), 574 nucleotides. RefSeq lists it as uncharacterized. The transcript is spliced from 3 exons. Lineage: Eukaryota; Metazoa; Chordata; Testudines; Geoemydidae. The record is from RefSeq and is a predicted model, not a curated record.